Molecule: long non-coding RNA, 661 nt
Filed under: Medicago truncatula (barrel medic)
Lineage: Eukaryota; Viridiplantae; Streptophyta; Magnoliopsida; Fabales; Fabaceae
Description: long non-coding RNA (MTRU_LNC007437)
Source: RNAcentral
CACCUCAUUCAUUUCCUUCCCUUCGACCUUCUCUCCACCAGCUUAUUAUUUUUUCUUUGAAAAGAACAAAACUCUUUCUCUCCAACAGCUAAAAAUGAAACUCAACAUAUCCAUGGAAAAAUAAUCCCAAUAGUUUUUCAAACUAAAACAACUAAAUCCAAUCCAAGAGUCUCAAUUUACAGCUCACAGAUAUCAAUAAUUUAUUUGGAUCUACAGCUCAAUAAUAUCCAAUCUAAGAGUUUUUAUAAAUCUGAUUCAUAUCAAUAAACUUUUUCUCUCAGUUUUCAAUUUAUUUAUUCUAUAUAAAUUUCUUUUUAUUUUUGCAGCUCUGAUGAAAAAUGAAAAUGAAUUAUUUUUGCAGAUCUGAAUAAAAAUGAAAAUGAAGGAGGAAGAAUGAGGAAAACACCCAAAAUUUCCAUGAAAACACUCAAGAUUGAAUAGAAUUAGAAAUUUUGGGGGAAAAAAAUCUGAAUUAAAGGGAAGAACCGAAAGGUGAACAUGAAGAAAGAAGAACUGAGAUGAAUUUUUGAAAGAGAACUUCAAAGAGGAAUUUUUGGAAAAGAACUUCAAAGCCAUCGAAUAAUUGACAUGUUGGAGUCUUCUUAUUUUAAUUACCUUUUAUGUUUGUAUUAAUUACUAAUAAUUAAAAGAGAAGUUCUAG